RNAcentral lists this ribosomal RNA (742 nucleotides) under uncultured bacterium. RNAcentral describes it as "bacterial SSU rRNA". It matches the Rfam family "Bacterial small subunit ribosomal RNA", at positions 8 to 796 of the family's 1533-position model. The record is from RNAcentral.
AGAGUUUGAUCAUGGCUCAGAACGAACGCUGGCGGCGCGCCUAACACAUGCAAGUCGGACGCACUCAGCAAUGGGUGAGUGGCGGACGGGUGAGUAACACGUGGGAACCUGCCCUGGGGUCUGGGAUAACUGCGGGAAACUGCAGGUAACACCGGAUGUGCCCUUAGGGGGAAAGUUUACGCCCUGGGAUGGGCCCGCGUCGGAUUAGGUAGUUGGUGGGGUAAUGGCCUACCAAGCCUUCGAUCCGUAACCGGUCUGAGAGGAUGAUCGGUCACACUGGGACUGAGACACGGCCCAGACUCCUACGGGAGGCAGCAGUGGGGAAUCUUGGACAAUGGGGGCAACCCUGAUCCAGCGACGCCGCGUGGGUGAUGAAGGCCUUCGGGUCGUAAAGCCCUUUUGCCGGGGAAGAUGAUGACGGUACCCGGAGAAGAAGCACCGGCUAACUCUGUGCCAGCAGCCGCGGUAAGACAGAGGGUGCUAGCGUUGUUCGGAAUUACUGGGCGUAAAGGGCGCGUAGGCGGCUCGUUUAGUCGGGUGUGAAAUCCCAAGGCUCAACCUUGGAACUGCAUUCGAUACUGGCGGGCUAGAGACCGGAAGAGGUGGGUGGAAUACCCAGUGUAGAGGUGAAAUUCGUAGAUAUUGGGUGGAACACCGGUGGCGAAGGCGGGUCUCUGGGCAACAACUGACGCUGAGGAGCGAAAGCGUGGGGAGCGAACAGGAUUAGAUACCCUAGUAGUCC